GACAGAGGGUGCAAGCGUUGUUCGGAAUUAUUGGGCGUAAAGCGCGCGUAGGCGGCCGACUAAGUCGGGUGUGAAAGCCCAGGGCUCAACCCUGGAAGUGCACUCGAUACUGGACGGCUUGAAUCUUGGAGAGGGUGGUGGAAUUCCUGGUGUAGAGGUGAAAUUCGUAGAUAUCAGGAGGAACACCGGUGGCGAAGGCGACCGCCUGGACAAGUAUUGACGCUGAGGUGCGAAAGCGUGGGGAGCAAACAGG
RNAcentral lists this ribosomal RNA (253 nucleotides) under uncultured bacterium. RNAcentral's name for it is "partial 16S ribosomal RNA". It matches the Rfam family "Bacterial small subunit ribosomal RNA", at positions 524 to 776 of the family's 1533-position model. The record is from RNAcentral.